Odocoileus virginianus texanus is the source of this 381-nucleotide non-coding RNA. The record is from RefSeq and is a predicted model, not a curated record. NCBI's taxonomy places the organism in Eukaryota, Metazoa, Chordata, Mammalia, Artiodactyla, Cervidae.
UGAAGAGAGAACGUGAGUCAAGGAGCGGUUUGGCUGAGGGUUUAGGGGUUUCGUCUCUCCUGCCACUCCCUGAGGCCGGCGGCUUUCGUCCCCGCCAUGGCUGAGCUAAUCCAGAAGAAGCUGCAGGGAGAAGUGGAGAAAUAUCAACAGCUGCAGAAGGACUUGAGUAAAUCCAUGUCAGGGAGGCAGAAACUAGAGGCACAACUAACAGAGAAUAAUAUUGUGAAGGAGGAACUGGCCCUGCUGGAUGGGUCCAACGUGGUGUUUAAACUUCUGGGGCCGGUGCUGGUCAAACAGGAGCUGGGGGAAGCUCGGGCCACAGUGGGGAAAAGGCUGGACUACAUCACAGCUGAGAUUAAGCGAUAUGAAUCCCAGCAAUAG